This 478-nucleotide ribosomal RNA is filed under the name uncultured bacterium. RNAcentral describes it as "partial 16S ribosomal RNA". It matches the Rfam family "Bacterial small subunit ribosomal RNA", at positions 28 to 507 of the family's 1533-position model. The record is from RNAcentral.
GAUGAACGCUGGCGGCGUGCUUAACACAUGCAAGUCGAACGAGAAGUGAAGACGGAAACCUUCGGGCGGAAGGCUUUAUUUCGAGUGGCGGACGGGUGAGUAACGCGUGGGUAACCUGCCUCAUACAGGGGGAUAACAGUUGGAAACGACUGUUAAUACCGCAUAAGACCACAGCACCGCAUGGUGCGGGGGUAAAAACUCCGGUGGUAUGAGAUGGACCCGCGUUCGAUUAGCCAGUUGGCGGGGUAACGGCCCACCAAAGCGACGAUCGAUAGCCGAUCUGAGAGGAUGACCGGCCACAUUGGGACUGAGACACGGCCCAAACUCCUACGGGAGGCAGCAGUGGGGAAUAUUGCACAAUGGGGGAAACCCUGAUGCAGCGACGCCGCGUGAGUGAAGAAGUAUUUCGGUAUGUAAAGCUCUAUCAGCAGGGAAGAAAAUGACGGUACCUGAAUAAGAAGCCCCGGCUAACUACGUG